UGCGUAGGCGGUUUGGCAAGUUGGUAGCGUAAUUCCGGGGCUCAACUUCGGAGCUACUACCAAAACUGCUAGGCUUGAGUGCGGCAGGGGUAUGUGGAAUUCCUAGUGUAGCGGUGGAAUGCGUAGAUAUUAGGAGGAACACCAGAGGCGAAAGCGACAUACUGGGCCGUAACUGACGCUGAGGCACGAAAGCGUGGGGAGCAAACA
Molecule: ribosomal RNA, 207 nt
Filed under: uncultured bacterium
Lineage: Bacteria
Description: partial 16S ribosomal RNA
Rfam family: Bacterial small subunit ribosomal RNA
Source: RNAcentral